GGGGAAUCUUGCGCAAUGGGCGAAAGCCUGACGCAGCAACGCCGCGUGAGGGAUGACGGCCUUCGGGUUGUAAACCUCUUUCAGGAGGGACGAAGCUUCCAGGGUUAAUAGCCCAUGGGGUGACGGUACCUCCAGAAGAAGCCCCGGCUAACUACGUGCCAGCAGCCGCGGUAAUACGUAGGGGGCAAGCGUUGUCCGGAAUCAUUGGGCGUAAAGCGCGUGUAGGCGGCUUGGUAAGUCUGGUGUGAAAACUUGGGGCUCAACCCCAAGCCUGCACUGGAUACUGCCUGGCUAGAGUCCGGGAGGGGAGAGCGGAAUUCCCAGUGUAGCGGUGAAAUGCGCAGAUAUUGGGAAGAACACCGGUGGCGAAGGCGGCUCUCUGGAACGGUACUGACGCUGAGACGCGAAAGCGUGGGGAGCGAAC
This 424-nucleotide ribosomal RNA is filed under the name uncultured bacterium. RNAcentral describes it as "bacterial SSU rRNA". It matches the Rfam family "Bacterial small subunit ribosomal RNA", at positions 356 to 773 of the family's 1533-position model. The record is from RNAcentral.